This 470-nucleotide ribosomal RNA is filed under the name uncultured bacterium. RNAcentral's name for it is "partial 16S ribosomal RNA". It matches the Rfam family "Bacterial small subunit ribosomal RNA", at positions 330 to 792 of the family's 1533-position model. The record is from RNAcentral.
GCCAGACUCCUACGGGAGGCAGCAGUGGGGAAUAUUGCGCAAUGGGCGAAAGCCUGACGCAGCGACGCCGCGUGAGGGAUGAAGGUCUUCGGAUCGUAAACCUCUGUCAGCAGGGAAGAACGGUCACUGUGCUAAUCAGCAGUGAAUUGACGGUACCUGAGUAAGAAGCACCGGCUAAAUACGUGCCAGCAGCCGCGGUAAUACGUAUGGUGCAAGCGUUAUCCGGAUUUACUGGGUGUAAAGGGAGCGUAGACGGCGGUGCAAGCCAGAUGUGAAAGCCCGGGGCUCAACCCCGGGACUGCAUUUGGAACUGUGCUGCUAGAGUGUCGGAGAGGCAGGCGGAAUUCCUAGUGUAGCGGUGAAAUGCGUAGAUAUUAGGAGGAACACCAGUGGCGAAGGCGGCCUGCUGGACGAUGACUGACGUUGAGGCUCGAAAGCGUGGGGAGCAAACAGGAUUAGAUACCCCCGUA